UGGGGAAUAUUGGACAAUGGGCGAAAGCCUGAUCCAGCCAUGCCGCGUGUGUGAAGAAGGUCUUCGGAUUGUAAAGCACUUUAAGUUGGGAGGAAGGGCAGUAAGCGAAUACCUUGCUGUUUUGACGUUACCGACAGAAUAAGCACCGGCUAACCCUGUGCCAGCAGCCGCGGUAAUAAAGAGGGUGCAAGCGUUAAUCGGAAUUACUGGGCGUAAAGCGCGCGUAGGUGGUUCGUUAAGUUGAAUGUGAACGCCCCGGGCUCAACCUGGGAACUGCAGCCAAAACUGGCGCGCUAGACUAGGUCAGAGGUUGUUGGAAUUUCCUGUGUAGCGGUGAAAUGCGUAGAUAUAGGAAGGAACACCAGUGGCGAAGGCGACCACCUGGGCUCAUACUGACACUGAGGUGCGAAAGCGUGGGGAGCAAACAGG
This 429-nucleotide ribosomal RNA is filed under the name Pseudomonadota bacterium. Its description in RNAcentral is "Proteobacteria bacterium partial 16S ribosomal RNA". It matches the Rfam family "Bacterial small subunit ribosomal RNA", at positions 355 to 776 of the family's 1533-position model. Lineage: Bacteria; Pseudomonadati; Pseudomonadota. The record is from RNAcentral.